RNAcentral lists this ribosomal RNA (1537 nucleotides) under Escherichia coli. Its description in RNAcentral is "partial 23S ribosomal RNA". It matches the Rfam family "Bacterial large subunit ribosomal RNA", at positions 1410 to 2925 of the family's 2925-position model. The record is from RNAcentral. Lineage: Bacteria; Pseudomonadati; Pseudomonadota; Gammaproteobacteria; Enterobacterales; Enterobacteriaceae.
CGUAGUCGAUGGGAAACAGGUUAAUAUUCCUGUACUUGGUGUUACUGCGAAGGGGGGACGGAGAAGGCUAUGUUGGCCGGGCGACGGUUGUCCCGGUUUAAGCGUGUAGGCUGGUUUUCCAGGCAAAUCCGGAAAACCAAGGCUGAGGCGUGAUGACGAGGCACUACGGUGCUGAAGCGACAAAUGCCCUGCUUCCAGGAAAAGCCUCUAAGCAUCAGGUAACAUCAAAUCGUACCCCAAACCGACACAGGUGGUCAGGUAGAGAAUACCAAGGCGCUUGAGAGAACUCGGGUGAAGGAACUAGGCAAAAUGGUGCCGUAACUUCGGGAGAAGGCACGCUGAUAUGUAGGUGAAGCGACUUGCUCGUGGAGCUGAAAUCAGUCGAAGAUACCAGCUGGCUGCAACUGUUUAUUAAAAACACAGCACUGUGCAAACACGAAAGUGGACGUAUACGGUGUGACGCCUGCCCGGUGCCGGAAGGUUAAUUGAUGGGGUUAGCGGCAACGCGAAGCUCUUGAUCGAAGCCCCGGUAAACGGCGGCCGUAACUAUAACGGUCCUAAGGUAGCGAAAUUCCUUGUCGGGUAAGUUCCGACCUGCACGAAUGGCGUAAUGAUGGCCAGGCUGUCUCCACCCGAGACUCAGUGAAAUUGAACUCGCUGUGAAGAUGCAGUGUACCCGCGGCAAGACGGAAAGACCCCGUGAACCUUUACUAUAGCUUGACACUGAACAUUGAGCCUUGAUGUGUAGGAUAGGUGGGAGGCUUUGAAGUGUGGACGCCAGUCUGCAUGGAGCCGACCUUGAAAUACCACCCUUUAAUGUUUGAUGUUCUAACGUUGGCCCCUAAUCGGGGUUGCGGACAGUGUCUGGUGGGUAGUUUGACUGGGGCGGUCUCCUCCUAAAGAGUAACGGAGGAGCACGAAGGUUGGCUAAUCCUGGUCGGACAUCAGGAGGUUAGUGCAAUGGCAUAAGCCAGCUUGACUGCGAGCGUGACGGCGCGAGCAGGUGCGAAAGCAGGUCAUAGUGAUCCGGUGGUUCUGAAUGGAAGGGCCAUCGCUCAACGGAUAAAAGGUACUCCGGGGAUAACAGGCUGAUACCGCCCAAGAGUUCAUAUCGACGGCGGUGUUUGGCACCUCGAUGUCGGCUCAUCACAUCCUGGGGCUGAAGUAGGUCCCAAGGGUAUGGCUGUUCGCCAUUUAAAGUGGUACGCGAGCUGGGUUUAGAACGUCGUGAGACAGUUCGGUCCCUAUCUGCCGUGGGCGCUGGAGAACUGAGGGGGACUGCUCCUAGUACGAGAGGACCGGAGUGGACGCAUCACUGGUGUUCGGGUUGUCAUGCCAAUGGCACUGCCCGGUAGCUAAAUGCGGAAGAGAUAAGUGCUGAAAGCAUCUAAGCACGAAACUUGCCCCGAGAUGAGUUCUCCCUGAGACUUAGAGCCUCCUGAAGGAACGUUGAAGACGACGACGUUGAUAGGCCGGGUGUGUAAGCGCAGCGAUGCGUUGAGCUAACCGGUACUAAUGAACCGUGAGGCUUAACCUU